CAGCAGCCGCGGUAAUACGUAGGGUGCGAGCGUUAAUCGGAUUUACUGGGCGUAAAGCGUGCGCAGGCGGCCCGUUAAGACAGGUGUGAAAUCCCUGGGCUCAACCUAGGAAUUGCGCUUGUGACUGGCGGGCUCGAGUACGGUAGAGGGGGGUGGAACUCCUGGUGUAGCAGUGAAAUGCGUAGAGAUCAGGAGGAACACCGAUGGCGAAGGCAGCCCCCUGGGCCUGUACUGACGCUCAUGCACGAAAGCGUGGGGAGCAAACAGGAUUAGAUACCCGGGUAGUCCACGCCCUAAACGAUGGGUACUAGCCGUUUGGUGCGCGAUAGCGCUGAGUGGCGAAGCUAACGCGUGAAGUACCCCGCCUGGGGAGUACGGCCGCAAGGUUGAAACUUAAAGGAAUUGGCGGG
This 410-nucleotide ribosomal RNA is filed under the name uncultured microorganism. RNAcentral describes it as "bacterial SSU rRNA". It matches the Rfam family "Bacterial small subunit ribosomal RNA", at positions 509 to 917 of the family's 1533-position model. The record is from RNAcentral.